Molecule: ribosomal RNA, 515 nt
Filed under: uncultured bacterium
Lineage: Bacteria
Description: bacterial SSU rRNA
Rfam family: Bacterial small subunit ribosomal RNA
Source: RNAcentral
ACGACGCUGGCGGCGUGCCUAAUACAUGCAAGUCGAACGGUCUUUCUAUGGAAGCUUGCUUCCACUGAGAAGAUAGUGGCGAACGGGUGAGUAACACGUGGGUAACCUGCCCAUAAGAGGGGGAUAACAUCCGGAAACGGGUGCUAAUACCGCAUAGUUUUCUUGAUCGCAUGAUUGAGAAAGGAAAGACGGCCUUUGUGCUGUCGCUUAUGGAUGGACCCGCGGCGUAUUAGUUAGUUGGUGAGGUAAUGGCUCACCAAGACGAUGAUACGUAGCCGACCUGAGAGGGUGAUCGGCCACAUUGGGACUGAGACACGGCCCAAACUCCUACGGGAGGCAGCAGUAGGGAAUCUUCCGCAAUGGACGAAAGUCUGACGGAGCAACGCCGCGUGAGUGAAGAAAGGUUUUCGGAUCGUAAAACUCUGUUGUCAGAGAAGAACAAGUUGGAGAGUAACUGCUCCAGCCUUGACGGUAUCUGACCAGAAAGCCACGGCUAACUACGUGCCAGCAGCGGC